UGAAUAUUUUUUUUACUGAUUUUAUUUAUUCUCAUUCGUAUCUUUCUUCCACCAAAUUCUGCUUCAAUAAUUAAUAACCCUGCUUUUGCGUGAUCUGGGAAGAGUGGGCAACAAAAGCAAGUGAACAAAUCAAAGUUGUUGGUUGAGAGCGAAAGAGAGAGAUGGAGAUGGAGGCUGAAGAAGAAGGAGCGUUCUGGGACACCGUGGCGAGGUGGUUUGGGGCGAACUUGGCGACGGCGUUCUUCUCUUCCUUGGAACGGUGUUCCUGCAUCUAUCUCUCCCCCGACGACCACGACGACGCUCUUCUCACCCUCCCUUCCCUUUCCUCUUCCACCUCUUUCACCUCUUCAAACGACGUCGUCACCUGACAACACCACACGGUAAUCCAAUAUCUCACUCAAACCCUUUCUUUCACUUUUCUGGUUCCAUCCAAUCUCAAUUUAUCAACCUGCUCUUACAUGUGCAGUCCCUACCCAUUGUAGCUACGGUGGUUGUGGCAUGUAGGUACACCAUUAUGGGAGCUGAUGGUGGUUGUGGGUACACCAAUAAGAAACUAGCUAUUAUAACAUCACCUGCUGUUACAAUUCUUGGUAUUGGCUGUGCUGAAGCUGUGGUCUAGCUUAAUAUCACUUUGUUGUGCAGAGUGCAUGUGUUUUUGGUAAGUUCGUAGGAAUGUCUUUGCUCUUGUUCAGCAGAACUUUCUUGUUCAACCCUCAUGUGUUUCUUUUUAAUUUAUUAAUUUUUUUUUGAUAAAAAAAAAAUCCAAUCUCAAUUUAUCUGUAAUAAUAAUAUAUGAAAGUUAAUAUGUUCG
Molecule: long non-coding RNA, 811 nt
Filed under: Phaseolus vulgaris (common bean)
Lineage: Eukaryota; Viridiplantae; Streptophyta; Magnoliopsida; Fabales; Fabaceae
Description: long non-coding RNA (PVUL_LNC001057)
Source: RNAcentral